GACGAACGCUGGCGGCGUGCCUAAUACAUGCAAGUCGAGCGCAGGAAGUCGACGGACCCCUUCGGGGGGAAGUUGAUGGAAUGAGCGGCGGCCGGGUGAGUAACACGUAAAGAACCUGCCCUCAGGUCUGGGAUAACCACGAGAAAUCGGGGCUAAUACCGGAUGGGUCAUCGGACCGCAUGGUCCGAGGAUGAAAGGCGCUUCGGCGUCGCCUGGGGAUGGCUUUGCGGUGCAUUAGCUAGUUGGUGGGGUAAUGGCCCACCAAGGCGUCGAUGCAUAGCGGACUGGAGAGGGGGAUCGGCCACACUGGGACUGGGACAGGGCCCAGACUCCUACGGGAGGCAGCAGUAGGGAAUCUUCGACAAUGGACGAAAGUCUGAUGGAGCAACGCCGCGUGAACGAUGAAGGCCUUCGGGUCGUAAAGUUCUGUUGUAAGGGAGGAACAAGUGCCGCAGGGAAUGGCGGCACCUUGACGGUACCUUGCGAGAAAGCCACGGCUAACUACGUG
Molecule: ribosomal RNA, 508 nt
Filed under: uncultured bacterium
Lineage: Bacteria
Description: partial 16S ribosomal RNA
Rfam family: Bacterial small subunit ribosomal RNA
Source: RNAcentral